GCAAAACAGAUCACACUAGUGGAGCUGCAAUACGCCCUCGAGCAGCGUCGUCGCCCAGACACUGACAUGCCGGGGAGGCCCCCCCAACGGCAAGCGUCCGCACAAGCAAAGCAGAACAUGCAGCUUCUGACUUCCUACAAAGUUCUUCGGGACAGGUGGAAGGAAAGGGUGGAACGAAACCAACGGAGGCUGAUGGUGGAGGAGGAGUGGCGCCGCGCUUUGGUGAUGCGCCACCUCCAGAAGAGAGAGCAGCAGGACCGUGUGCCGGGCAGUUACCACCAAGAUGGCUUUUAUGCGUGGAAAUAAAGGGCCUUUCCGA
This is a long non-coding RNA of Dromaius novaehollandiae (emu), 319 nucleotides long. RefSeq lists it as uncharacterized. NCBI's taxonomy places the organism in Eukaryota, Metazoa, Chordata, Aves, Casuariiformes, Dromaiidae. The record is from RefSeq and is a predicted model, not a curated record. The transcript is spliced from 3 exons.